RNAcentral lists this ribosomal RNA (463 nucleotides) under Oxalobacteraceae bacterium. RNAcentral describes it as "bacterial SSU rRNA". It matches the Rfam family "Bacterial small subunit ribosomal RNA", at positions 400 to 856 of the family's 1533-position model. Lineage: Bacteria; Pseudomonadati; Pseudomonadota; Betaproteobacteria; Burkholderiales; Oxalobacteraceae. The record is from RNAcentral.
CGUGAGUGAAGAAGGCCUUCGGGUUGUAAAGCUCUUUUGUCAGGGAAGAAACGGUGAGAGCUAAUAUCUUUUGCUAAUGACGGUACCUGAAGAAUAAGCACCGGCUAACUACGUGCCAGCAGCCGCGGUAAUACGUAGGGUGCAAGCGUUAAUCGGAAUUACUGGGCGUAAAGCGUGCGCAGGCGGUUUUGUAAGUCUGAUGUGAAAUCCCCGGGCUCAACCUGGGAAUUGCAUUGGAGACUGCAAGGCUAGAAUCUGGCAGAGGGGGGUAGAAUUCCACGUGUAGCAGUGAAAUGCGUAGAUAUGUGGAGGAACACCGAUGGCGAAGGCAGCCCCCUGGGUCAAGAUUGACGCUCAUGCACGAAAGCGUGGGGAGCAAACAGGAUUAGAUACCCUGGUAGUCCACGCCCUAAACGAUGUCUACUAGUUGUCGGGUUUUAAUUAACUUGGUAACGCAGCUAAC